ACAAUCUUAACAAUCCGGUGACGGUGUAGUUCAAGAUCCGAUUUCUUGGCGUACGAGAUAUCCAUCGAUCCACCACAAAUCAUCACCAAAACCACUGGUUUUCUUGGUUGAUUUAGUGCUUUGAGUGGUUCGAUAGAUUUGUAAGGUGGGCUCGGGUAGUUCCUCGACAAGGGUUUCAAGAUCUGAUGGUGGUUUCAAGAUCCGGCGGUGGUCAACAAAUCCGUUAUGAACAUCAAAAGAUCAUCCACCACAUAUGAACAUAUGAACAUCAUGGUGGCUUGGAUCACAUGGUGGCUUGGUUCCAUGGCUACAUAUGAUGCUUCAGAUAACGGUUGAAGAUGCUCCAGAUGCUCCGGUUGAAUAUGCUCCGAAAAGAUGCUACCAGAUCUACCAGAUCUAAGCAACUCGGGUGAAGCAUCGGAUAACCAAACUGGGACAACGCUCGGUUGAAGGACAAGUUUUAAGUUAAAGGUUAUUUGCACGUAGUUUUGGGUGAUCAUCAAGUCAACGCCAAGAAACCGAACACAAUGAAGAUCUAGUUUCCGCACCUUUUGUAAACCGUGUGUUUAUAGUUCAAACUUUUAAGUUGUUUGGGAAUACUUUAUGUAUCCUAGUAUGUUUCCUUUUAACGACAAAGUUAUGUAAAUGUCUUUUACCAUAUAAUAAUAUGGAAAUUUUGU
Molecule: long non-coding RNA, 680 nt
Filed under: Helianthus annuus (common sunflower)
Lineage: Eukaryota; Viridiplantae; Streptophyta; Magnoliopsida; Asterales; Asteraceae
Description: hypothetical non coding rna
Source: RNAcentral